Non-coding RNA from Fulmarus glacialis (Northern fulmar), 208 nucleotides. NCBI's taxonomy places the organism in Eukaryota, Metazoa, Chordata, Aves, Procellariiformes, Procellariidae. The record is from Rfam.
AAUCCAGUGAAGGAUUCACUGAAGGAAACUGCUUCAAAUCCUGGAUUCAAGCAAAUUAGGAAGUUUGAACAAGGAAAAGACCUAUAGGUGAGUUCAGAUCUUCAGAUUACCCCAAAAUACCUUUUGUUCUAAGUUAGCUUACCUAGAGUUAAAACCUUGCUCUGCUUUCUAUUUUUGCUCAAACUGACGUAUCAGCAGAAGGUGUGGG